Molecule: RNA transcript, 2236 nt
Organism: Drosophila obscura
Lineage: Eukaryota; Metazoa; Arthropoda; Insecta; Diptera; Drosophilidae
Gene: FoxP
Gene name: forkhead box protein P1
Exons: 8
Source: RefSeq, a predicted model, not a curated record
UACAGAUUUAUAAAUAUGCUCCGGAGACAUGAUGAACAUUUUUCUAAAGACAUUAAAGAUUCUGGUCAUGAGGGAGCCGUCCAACAGGAGGAACAUGAGGAUAGAGAGAGAAGAUACCAUAUUUCUCUCCCAGAUAUUUGCACAGACAACGUUAAAAAUACUUGCUUUCAACAAUCUGGAUUUUUAAACAAUACAAUAUCAUUUGCUUCUCAUGUCGUAAAAUGUAGCUCUCCUAUUUCGAGCUUUGAUGAAUCCAUACCUACUGGUCAACUCACAACACAUUCCCGAAUGCAUAUAUCCCAAGGUCAACACACAAUAGCUCCUAUUUCGGAACAUAGUUUUUACAAUGUGCCUGAAUAUAUUUCGGAGCAGGAAAAGCAUAUUUUUUCAGAUUCUGAGCGGUUCUUAAGGUCAAAAGAAAAAGAAGUAUGCAGUAAUGAAAAUGAUUAUGUACAUGAUGAAUUUACCAUGAGGAAAUACUAUCACCCUCUCUUUGCGCACGGUGUUUGCCGGUGGCCUGGUUGUGAAAUGGACUUAGAAGACAUCACAUCGUUUGUAAAGCAUCUUAAUUCGGAACAUGGAUUGGAUGACCGGUCAACUGCUCAAGCUCGUGUACAAAUGCAAGUUGUUUCUCAAUUGGAGUCUCACCUUCAAAAAGAAAGAGAUCGCUUGCAAGCUAUGAUGCACCACUUGUAUCUUUCUAAGCAACUUUUAUCGCCGACAAAGUCGGAUCGAAAGGAUACUUCCGGAAAAGAUGGAAAUUAUUGCAGGAUGACGAGUCCCCAUACAAUGACUAGCUUAGGACGAACAAUUCGACAAUCAAAUUCUCCGAGCUCUAUUAACCUUCCCAUGGUGAAUUCAGCAAACUUGUGCACAAUAAAGAAAAGAAGUAUGGAUAAAACAGCGUUUUCAAUAAAUGGUGGCUUGCCAUAUAUGCUAGAGAGAGCUGGGCUAGAUGUACAACAAGAAAUACAGCGAAACAGAGAAUUCUACAAGAAUGCUGAUGUACGACCUCCUUUUACUUAUGCGUCUCUCAUAAGACAGGCUAUCAUUGAUUCUCCAGACAAACAAUUAACACUGAACGAAAUUUAUAACUGGUUUCAAAAUACCUUUUGUUACUUUCGUCGUAACGCAGCUACUUGGAAGAUUCAAGGGAAAAUUCGCCAUCGAGCGGGCGCUUUGUGACCACCACCAAACGAAGAUCAUAUGUUUCUUCGGAUCUAUUUCGUUGGAGGUUCAACAAUAGAACUAGACAGGCGUUGUGCAAUUUUUACUGUGACUAAAAGUAAAAUGAUACACCAAUUGCUAAAUCUUCUGCAUGAGCAUAAUGAAUUGGUCAGAUUGUUUAAAACCGUAUUGGAUGCAAUGCAUUCUGACGACCACAAAACAAUUAACAAUUGCACCGUGUAUACGAGACUCAUCGGUCAUAUACACAUUGGUGUACUGUUGUGGAGAGGAUCGCUAUCACUUAAAUAUAAAGACGACAGACGACAAAAGAGAAGAAACGAAUAAGGUCAGCGCAAUCAAUUUUUAAGCGUAUUGAUUGAUGAAUCGGCAAGAUGUUGACAGCUAUGCAGAGAAUACAAAUUUUGGACACAUGUGCUAGAUGGAGACGUCGAGAAACGCCAUGAAAUUUGGCAACCGCUGAACCACGUUUAAGCGGUCGCCCAGCAGCGGCAGCGACGUAUAGGAGAAAAUCGGCAAAAACGCGACCACAUUGUCAACGCAUAACCACGAGCGGCUCACGAGAAAAUAAAUCAGCAACAUUGCGACUACGUUGUCACAGCAUUGCCACGCGCGGCUCACGGGACAAAAUAAUCGGCAACAGCGCACCGACGCGCCCGCCGGAAACAACAGCAGCGUACACAUGUUAGUGUUUGUGUGUAUGCUAUUCUGUGUGGCGCGCGUAAAAAUCAUUUAAAUAGCUUCUUGACUCUAUCAUUACCUUUAAGUGGUUGCGACGAUCAGAAGCGAUUUUUUCAUUGGAGUUCCGUGAGCAAUUUAACUAAAUUCAUUUCAUACGCAACUUUCAUUGCGAAAACAAUACCUUUGCCAUAUAUCAAUAAACUGGCGAUUGCUUUACCGUUUUACCCGUCUGCUCCGCAUCAUAGUUUUCCUCUUUCAUAUUGCCCUUUAACUGCAGGGAUAUUAGUAGUUUGUCAUACAUUUUAAUGCAAAUAAAAGACUAAUAGUGGCAGGUUUUUUAAAUGUUUUGCUAAACAUUAAUAACUCACUG